MicroRNA precursor from Oryza sativa Japonica Group (Japanese rice), 164 nucleotides. It matches the Rfam family "MIR812 microRNA precursor family", at positions 27 to 192 of the family's 205-position model. The record is from Rfam. NCBI's taxonomy places the organism in Eukaryota, Viridiplantae, Streptophyta, Magnoliopsida, Poales, Poaceae.
UUCAACAUUUGAUCAUCCGUUUUUUUUAAUAUUUUUGUUAUUAGUAUUUUUGUUGUUAUUAGAUGAUAAAACAUGAAUAAUACUUUACGCGUAUUCUUUUUUUACUUUUUUCAUUAAAAAAAUUAAAUAAGAUGGACGGUCAAACGUUGGAUUUAAAAACCCAC